Molecule: ribosomal RNA, 253 nt
Filed under: uncultured Blautia sp.
Lineage: Bacteria; Bacillati; Bacillota; Clostridia; Lachnospirales; Lachnospiraceae
Description: partial 16S ribosomal RNA
Rfam family: Bacterial small subunit ribosomal RNA
Source: RNAcentral
UACGUAGGGGGCAAGCGUUAUCCGGAUUUACUGGGUGUAAAGGGAGCGUAGACGGUGAUGCAAGUCAGAAGUGAAAGCCCGGGGCUCAACCCCGGGACUGCAUUUGGAACUGUGCUGCUAGAGUGUCGGAGAGGCAGGCGGAAUUCCUAGUGUAGCGGUGAAAUGCGUAGAUAUUAGGAGGAACACCAGUGGCGAAGGCAGCAUACCGGCGCCCGACUGACGCUGAGGCACGAAAGCGUGGGUAUCGAACAGG